AUGAUGAAAAAGACAAUGAUCAAGAUAGUGAGCGAAUUCAACAAGGAAUGCAAGAAAUGUCUCUCUUGGGGAAGAAACGUGGAGGUGUUGCUUGGAAAGAAAGGCUACGAAGCAAGAAGCAAUUUCUCUGACAAGUCCAAGAUGAGGAAAUCAAAGAGAUAUUGCUAUCAAUGUGGUGAUCCCAAUCAUUUCAUUGCUGCUUGUCCUAAUAAGGAGGGCAAGAAAGAAGAGAAGGAGAAGAGCAAGUACAAGAGGAAAUCAUUCGAUCACAAGGGCAAGCCAUACAAGCCAGACAAGCAGAAAGGUGUGGAGGCACAUCCUCGCGUCAACACGGGAGUGGAAAGUGCCGUUCAAAGAUGCAGAGGUGGUGGACUUGGACCGCUUCGGAGGCCGGUUAAUGGAUAA
This 405-nucleotide ribosomal RNA is filed under the name Triticum aestivum (bread wheat). RNAcentral describes it as "partial small subunit ribosomal RNA". The record is from RNAcentral. Lineage: Eukaryota; Viridiplantae; Streptophyta; Magnoliopsida; Poales; Poaceae.